UGGGGGAUAUUGCACAAUGGGCGAAAGCCUGAUGCAGCGACGCCGCGUGGGGGAUGAAGGCCUUCGGGUUGUAAACUUCUUUUGCUCUGAACAAGGCAUGCCUUUGGGGUGUGUUGAGUGUAGGGGUUGAUUAGCGCCGGCUAACUACGUGCCAGUAGCCGCGGUAAUACGUAGGGCGCGAGCGUUGUCCGGAAUUAUUGGGCGUAAAGGGCUUGUAGGUGGCUGGUUGCGUCUGUCGUGAAAGCUCAUGGCUUAACUGUGGGUUUGCGGUGGGUACGGUCUGGAUUGAGUGCAGUAGGGGAGGCUGGAAUUCCUGGUGUAGCGGUGGAAUGCGCAGAUAUCAGGAGGAAUACCGGUGACGAGGGCGGGUCUCUGGGCUGUUACUGACGCUGAGGGGCGAAAGCGUGGGGAGCGAACAGG
This 420-nucleotide ribosomal RNA is filed under the name Fusobacteriota bacterium. RNAcentral describes it as "Fusobacteria bacterium partial 16S ribosomal RNA". It matches the Rfam family "Bacterial small subunit ribosomal RNA", at positions 355 to 776 of the family's 1533-position model. Lineage: Bacteria; Fusobacteriati; Fusobacteriota. The record is from RNAcentral.